RNAcentral lists this ribosomal RNA (253 nucleotides) under uncultured bacterium. RNAcentral describes it as "partial 16S ribosomal RNA". It matches the Rfam family "Bacterial small subunit ribosomal RNA", at positions 524 to 776 of the family's 1533-position model. The record is from RNAcentral.
UACGAAGGGGGCUAGCGUUACUCGGAUUGACUGGGCGUAAAGGGCGCGUAGGCGGCUUGGCAAGUGGAUGGUGAAAUCCCUCGGCUUAACCGAGGAACUGCCGUCCAAACUGCUUUGCUUGAGGACUGGAGAGGAGACUGGAAUUUACGGUGUAGCGGUGAAAUGCGUAGAUAUCGUAAGGAAGACCAGUGGCGAAGGCGGGUCUCUGGACAGUUCCUGACGCUGAGGCACGAAGGUCAGGGGAGCAAACGGG